AUGAACGCUGGCGGCGUGCCUAAUACAUGCAAGUCGAGCGAACAGACGAGGAGCUUGCUCCUCUGACGUUAGCGGCGGACGGGUGAGUAACACGUGGAUAACCUACCUAUAAGACUGGGAUAACUUCGGGAAACCGGAGCUAAUACCGGAUAAUAUAUUGAACCGCAUGGUUCAAUAGUGAAAGACGGUUUUGCUGUCACUUAUAGAUGGAUCCGCGCCGCAUUAGCUAGUUGGUAAGGUAACGGCUUACCAAGGCAACGAUGCGUAGCCGACCUGAGAGGGUGAUCGGCCACACGGGAACUGAAACCCGGCCCACACCCCCACGGGGGGCAGCAGGAGGGAAUUUUCCGCAAGGGGGCAAACCCUGACGGGGCAACGCCGGGGGAGUGAUGAAGGUUUUCGGAUUGUAAACCUCUUUUAUUAGGGAAGAAAAAAUGUUAAAGUAACUAUCCCCGUCUUGACGGUACCUAAUCAGAAAGCCACGGCUAACUACGU
This 495-nucleotide ribosomal RNA is filed under the name uncultured bacterium. RNAcentral's name for it is "partial 16S ribosomal RNA". It matches the Rfam family "Bacterial small subunit ribosomal RNA", at positions 29 to 506 of the family's 1533-position model. The record is from RNAcentral.